GUCCCUGUGGUGCAGUGGUAGCAUGUUUUGCUUUUGUGGAUCGGGCAACUUGUGCAUAUCCUGUGCGGCAAGUUGUCUGGUUUAGUGUCGAAGAGGUCAGGGGUUCAAUUCCUCCUGAGGGCA
Molecule: non-coding RNA, 123 nt
Organism: Lasiosphaeria hispida
Lineage: Eukaryota; Fungi; Ascomycota; Sordariomycetes; Sordariales; Lasiosphaeriaceae
Source: the annotation of a GenBank genome assembly